This 210-nucleotide unclassified non-coding RNA is filed under the name uncultured fungus. RNAcentral describes it as "sequence contains ITS1". Lineage: Eukaryota; Fungi. The record is from RNAcentral.
UUGAUUCAUUUGCUUGUUCACUCAGAAGAAAUUCCACCGGGGCGAAGUCAAGAGUUCGGGUCCCCCGGCGGGCGCCUGGCUCCGGGGCCGUCCCCCCGCGGGGGGGUUCGGGCGCCGGGGCGGUCCGCCGAAGCAACGUCUGGGUAUGUUCACAGGGGUUUGGGAGUUGAAAACUCGGUAAUGAUCCCUCCGCUGGUUCACCAACGGAGA